GCCAGAUGUUGUGGCACACAUGGGAAUCCCUGCUACUGGGGAGGCUGAGGAUGAUGAAUCACUUGAGUCUGGAAGUUUUUGGUUGCAAUGGGGCUAGUGCAGCAUCGGUACGGUGAGUUCCUGAGAGCAGGAGGCAACCAGGGUGCCUAGGGAGGGGUAAAGUGGCCCAGGUCAGAAAUGAAGCAGCUCAAAGCUUCCAUGCCAAUCCUCACUGGGAUCAGGCCCUGUUCCAGCUGAUGAGAUAAGGGAGACCCAGUCUCA
This 261-nucleotide small RNA is filed under the name Phascolarctos cinereus (koala). Its description in RNAcentral is "Metazoan signal recognition particle RNA (ENSPCIG00000036142.1)". The record is from RNAcentral. Lineage: Eukaryota; Metazoa; Chordata; Mammalia; Diprotodontia; Phascolarctidae.